AUGCAUAGGUCCCCUGUAUGA
RNAcentral lists this non-coding RNA (21 nucleotides) under Arabidopsis thaliana (thale cress). Lineage: Eukaryota; Viridiplantae; Streptophyta; Magnoliopsida; Brassicales; Brassicaceae. The record is from RNAcentral.